GAUGAAGAAGGUAGCGAAAUGCGAUACUUGGUGUGAAUUGCAGAAUCCCGUGAACCAUCGAGUCUUUGAACGCAAGUUGCGCCCGAAGCCACUAGGCCGAGGGCACGCCUGCCUGGGCGUCACACGCCGUUGCCCCCCCAUCUACUCCUUCGGGAUUGCGGGGGGGCGGAUGAUGGCCUCCUGUGCGCCUAGCCGCGCGGUUGGCAUAAAUACCAAGUCCUCGGCGACGCACGCCACGACAAUCGGUGGUUGCGAAACCUCGGUUGCCCGUCGUGUGCGUUCGUCGCGCAUCGAGGGCUCGAAAAAAUGCUCGGCUCCGGCUGGGCUUUCAACGCGACCCCAGGUCAGGCGGGGUUACCCGCUGAAUUUAAGCAUAUCAAUAAGCGGAGGA
Molecule: unclassified non-coding RNA, 391 nt
Filed under: soil metagenome
Description: partial contains 5.8S ribosomal RNA, internal transcribed spacer 2, and large subunit ribosomal RNA
Rfam family: 5.8S ribosomal RNA (bases 1-122)
Source: RNAcentral